UAGGGAAUCUUCCACAAUGGACGAAAGUCUGAUGGAGCAACGCCGCGUGAGUGAAGAAGGGUUUCGGCUCGUAAAACUCUGUUGUUAAAGAAGAACGUUGGUGAGAGUGGAAAGCUCAUCAAGUGACGGUAACUACCCAGAAAGGGACGGCUAACUACGUGCCAA
RNAcentral lists this ribosomal RNA (165 nucleotides) under uncultured bacterium. RNAcentral describes it as "partial 16S ribosomal RNA". It matches the Rfam family "Bacterial small subunit ribosomal RNA", at positions 355 to 511 of the family's 1533-position model. The record is from RNAcentral.